AAGAACGCUGGCGGCAGGCCUAAGACAUGCAAGUCGUACGCGAACGACCUUUCGGGGUUAAGUAGAGUGGCGAACGGGUUAGUAACGCGUGGGAACAUACACAGCACAGGGGGAUAACCAUUGGAAACGAUGGCUAAUACCGCAUACGCCCUAUUGGGGAAAGAUUUAUCGGUGUUGGAUUGGCCCGCGUUAGAUUAGCUAGUUGGUGGGGUAAUGGCUCACCAAGGCGACGAUUUAUAGCUGGUUUGAGAGGAUGAUCAGCAACACUGGAACUGAGACACGGUCCAGACUCCUACGGGAGGCAGCAGUCGGGAAUAUUGUGCAAUGGGGGCAACCCUGACACAGCCAUGCCGCGCGAGUGAAGAAGGCCUUAGGGUUGUAAAGCUCUUUCAGAUGUGAGGAUGAUGACGAUAGCAUCAGAAGAAGCUCCGGCUAACUUCGUGCCAGCAGCCACGGUAAUACGAAGGGAGCUAGCGUNGUUCGGAAUUACUGGGCGUAAAGGGCGUGU
This 508-nucleotide ribosomal RNA is filed under the name uncultured bacterium. RNAcentral's name for it is "bacterial SSU rRNA". It matches the Rfam family "Bacterial small subunit ribosomal RNA", at positions 29 to 572 of the family's 1533-position model. The record is from RNAcentral.